GUUACAAUAUAGCUCAGUUGGUUAGAGCGUGGUGCUGGCAACAGCAAGGUUGCAGGUUCGAUCCCCUGUAAGGGACA
Non-coding RNA from Podarcis lilfordi (Lilford's wall lizard), 77 nucleotides. Lineage: Eukaryota; Metazoa; Chordata; Lepidosauria; Squamata; Lacertidae. The record is from the annotation of a GenBank genome assembly.